RNAcentral lists this ribosomal RNA (301 nucleotides) under uncultured bacterium. RNAcentral's name for it is "partial 16S ribosomal RNA". It matches the Rfam family "Bacterial small subunit ribosomal RNA", at positions 509 to 807 of the family's 1533-position model. The record is from RNAcentral.
CAGCAGCCACGGUAAUACGGAGGGAGCUAGCGUUGUUCGGAAUUACUGGGCGUAAAGCGCGCGUAGGCGGUUACUCAAGUCAGAGGUGAAAGCCCGGGGCUCAACUCCAGAACUGCCUUUGAUACUGGCCAUCUCGAGUCCGGAAGAGGUAAGUGGAACUGCGAGUGUAGAGGUGAAAUUCGUAGAUAUUCGCAAGAACACCAGUGGCGAAGGCGGCUUACUGGUCCGGUACUGACGCUGAGGUGCGAAAGCGUGGGGAGCAAACAGGAUUAGAUACCCGAGUAGUCCCUGUCUCUUAUAC